AUUGAACGCUGGCGGCAUGCCUUACACAUGCAAGUCGAACGGCAGCACGGGUGCUUGCACCUGGUGGCGAGUGGCGAACGGGUGAGUAAUACAUCGGAACAUGUCCUGUAGUGGGGGAUAGCCCGGCGAAAGCCGGAUUAAUACCGCCUACGGUCUACGGAUGAAAGCGGGGGCCCUUCGGGCCUCGCGCUAUAGGGUUGGCCGAUGGCUGAUUAGCUAGUUGGUGGGGUCAAGGCCUACCAAGGCGACGACCAGUAGCUGGUCUGAGAGGACCACCAGCCACACUGGGACGGAGACACGGCCCAGACUCCUACGGGAGGCAGCAGUGGGGAAUUUUGGACGAUGGGCGAAAGCGGGAUCCAGCGAUGCCGCGGGUGAGAAGGAGGCAGUAGGGUUGUGAAGGACAUUUGGCCGGAAAGAAAGCCUUGGCCCUAAUACGGUCGGGGGGAUGACGGUACCGGAAGAAUAAGCACCGGCUAACUACGUG
RNAcentral lists this ribosomal RNA (487 nucleotides) under uncultured bacterium. RNAcentral's name for it is "partial 16S ribosomal RNA". It matches the Rfam family "Bacterial small subunit ribosomal RNA", at positions 29 to 507 of the family's 1533-position model. The record is from RNAcentral.